Long non-coding RNA from Patella vulgata (common limpet), 906 nucleotides. RefSeq lists it as uncharacterized. NCBI's taxonomy places the organism in Eukaryota, Metazoa, Mollusca, Gastropoda, Patellidae. The record is from RefSeq and is a predicted model, not a curated record. The transcript is spliced from 3 exons.
UACCUAUUUAUUGAUUAAUAGGGUUUCAGGUCAAACUCAAAGUUUCAAAUGAUCAAAACGCUCUAUAUACCAGUCAAUGCGUGGGAUGGCACCAAAAUAAGUGCUUUUCUGUCAUAUUUGAGUGACGUCAUGAGUCAUAAGCGGUAUUUUCCCUUCAGAAUCGCUAUACUGGCUAGGCCCUAUAGUACCAAUUUUAAAACUGAAUGAAAUCCGCACGUUAUUGUCAGCUAAGAUUUAUUAAAAUCAUAAUUAUAUAUUAUAGAUCUAAUUUCAAAUAUUAUACUUAACUAAUAGAAUCAAUUAAGCUUUUACUAUCUAAUAUGUGAAUUUAGGGUAGUUACAUUAUGUUUCUAUUUCAGUGUUCAUCAAUAGUGGUUUUGAUUUUUCACUUGGAUUGGUGGAAGAAGGUACCAUACAAUACUAUACUACUGUACUGUGUUAGAUUGUUCAGCGUAAAUUGGUUUCAAAGACCUUUCCAGUACGCCACGGUAUUCAGUAUAAUCUAAGGAAAUUAAAACAGAAGAAAAGUAUAGAAAAUAUUUCCAAUUAUCUAUCUUGAGAUCACAGAGAUUGAAUGCUGCAGGUCUUGUGUUUAGUGUAUAGACUAAUUGGUGGAUGUUAUUAACAUUAACCUUUUAGCAAAGGUUAGCUUGAUGAUGUUACUGACUUUGCAGUGUAGUGGAAGAUGUUAACCUAACUUUGGUAGACAACAAGCCUAACCCUGAAGUCAACGAUGUACAAUAUGUCAGUGUCACGGUUCCACUACCAAACGUAACGCGAAUAUAAACAAUACUUACGGGUACAUGUAUUUACUUUGAUUGAAAUGAGGUCAACUUAAAAAUUUGUGUAGAUGUGUUAUUUGUUGUAACAGUUAUAUCCAUAAAAGUUAUAUCCAUAAAAUGUAAA